Molecule: ribosomal RNA, 627 nt
Filed under: Suillus spraguei
Lineage: Eukaryota; Fungi; Basidiomycota; Agaricomycetes; Boletales; Suillaceae
Description: partial 25S ribosomal RNA
Rfam family: Eukaryotic large subunit ribosomal RNA
Source: RNAcentral
GCGGAGGAAAAGAAACUAACAAGGAUUCCCCUAGUAACUGCGAGUGAACCGGGAAAAGCUCAAAUUUUGAAUCUGGCGGUCCAAGGGCCGUCCGAGUUGUAAUCUAGAGAAGCGUCUUCCGCGCUGGACCGUGUAUAAGUUUCCUGGAAUGGAACGUCGUAGAGGGUGACAAUCCCGUCUUUGACACGGACUCCCAGUGCUAUGUGAUGCGCUCUCGACGAGUCGAGUUGUUUGGGAAUGCAGCUCAAAUAGGGUGGUAAAUUCCAUCUAAAGCUAAAUACAGGCGAGAGACCGAUAGCGAACAAGUACCGUGAGGGAAAGAUGAAAAGAACUUUGGAAAGAGAGUUAAACAGUACGUGAAAUUGCUGAAAGGGAAACGCUUGAUGUCAGUCGCAUCGUCCGGGGAUCAGCCUCGCUCUUUUGCUCGGCGUACUUCCUGGUCGAUGGGUCAGCAUCGGUUUCGACCGUCGGAAAAUGGCUCGAGGAACGUGGCACUCUUCGGGGUGUGUUAUAGCCUCGAGUCGAAUACGACGGUCGGGACCGAGGAACUCAGCACGACCUUCGGGUUCGGGGCUUCGGCUCACGUUCGCGUGCUUAGGAUGCUGGCAUAAUGGCCUUAACGACCCG